Molecule: ribosomal RNA, 497 nt
Filed under: uncultured bacterium
Lineage: Bacteria
Description: bacterial SSU rRNA
Rfam family: Bacterial small subunit ribosomal RNA
Source: RNAcentral
GACGAACGCUGGCGGCGUGCUUAACACAUGCAAGUCGAGCGGGAUCCAACCGGUGGCAACACCGGGGAAGAUCUAGCGGCGAACGGGUGAGUAACACGUGAGCAACCUGCCCCGAAGACUGGGAGUAACACCGGGAAACCGGUGCUAAUACCGGAUGUCGUCAUUAGGCCGCAUGACCUGAUGAUGAAAGGAUUCAUCGCUUCGGGAGGGGCUCGCGGGCUAUCAGCUUGNGGUGGGGUAACGGCCUACCAAGGCGACGACGGCUAGCUGGUCUGAGAGGACGACCAGCCACACUGGGACUGAGACACGGCCCAGACUCCUACGGGAGGCAGCAGUGGGGAAUAUUGGACAAUGGGGGCAACCCUGAUCCAGCGACGCCGCGUGGGUGAAGAAGGCCUGCGGGUUGUAAAGCCCUUUCGGUGGGGAAGAAAGUCUCGACCUAAUACGUCGGGACCUUGACGUAACCCACUAAAGAAGCACCGGCUAACUCUGUGCCA